AAACGAACAAAUUCAGGGUAGAAGUGUCCUGUAUCUCGCGACGUUGCUAAAUUGACAGUUGUGGUGGUUUCGAAAUGUGUUUUUUUAAGACUUCAUUUGCUCGCUGUCGGUUUCAUCGUGGAAGUGAAACCGUCCUCCCGAAAAAGGGGAGUUGCUGGAGUCCGUGCUGGAGGAACAGUUCUUUCCGAAGGAUCCUCCAGCGCAGUUAUAUACCAAAAAAAAUCAACUGCCCGACGAAUGGUGCUGGAAUCGUUCAACUCGCGGCCCAGUUCGUGGCAUGAUGCCACCGUCAAACAUGUGGUUGAGCUGGCAAAAUAUAUGAAUGCUUAAACGUGCCAAGACCAGCAACGGCGUCGUUAUUUUAUUAACAAAGCUUUUAAU
This is a long non-coding RNA of Uranotaenia lowii, 381 nucleotides long. RefSeq lists it as uncharacterized. NCBI's taxonomy places the organism in Eukaryota, Metazoa, Arthropoda, Insecta, Diptera, Culicidae. The transcript is spliced from 3 exons. The record is from RefSeq and is a predicted model, not a curated record.